Long non-coding RNA from Esox lucius (northern pike), 1333 nucleotides. NCBI's taxonomy places the organism in Eukaryota, Metazoa, Chordata, Actinopteri, Esociformes, Esocidae. The record is from Ensembl.
CAACUGGCUCUGUGAACACUCACAAUAACACAAUACAACUGGCUCUGUGAACACUCACAAUAACACAAUACAACUGGCUCUGUGAACAAUAUACUUGAAAACAUUUUGCAAAGUUCAAGAAGGAAGAUCUUCACCAACAGAUUAUCAAUAUUCAGCUGUUUUCACACACAUUUCUGUUUCAUUUAAUCUUUUUGCAAAGCAAAAUUCUCAUCAUAUAAUCAUUUUAAGUUAACUGAAAGACAGAGAAAAAGAGACCGUGAACGUAAUAAAGAUAAAGAGAGAUAGAAAGAUAAAAGAGAGACAUAGAAAGAGACUCAGAAAGAGGCAGAGAGAAAGGAAGUGAGUGAAAUUCAGGCGUGUCUCUGUGAUUUAGGUAUAAAGAGUGCUUAGUGUGUAGUCAGGGUCCAGUACAUCAGUAUGGAGAAAGCUGUGUGGCUACUGGCUCUUCUGUGUCUGCAGGUCUGUCUGCUCUCCACAGAGGCCCAACCUGGAACAGACAGACUGACAGCUGCCCAAACCAACCAAGACAUGGAUUCAAGGAUUAAAAGAGGGGGGAAUAACCAGAGUAAAUGCCAGAAGAAGCCAAACAUAAGAUGUCGCAACCGCAUUGGAGCGAAUGGUGCUUUGGGUUCUCUACUCCAGUAAUGAGGAGCAGAAGAUGGAGAAGUCAACAAUUGCAAGUGGCAUUGAUCACACCUUGGAGCCAUAACGUCAACUUGACCAUUGCCCAGAAGCUCCAGAAGACAAUCCCAUAUGCUUCGGACUAAUCAUUACUGUAAUAAUAUUUGGAAUGCACAACUGUGUGGAAUUAAGAUCAAAUGUUCUGUGGAAUUUGUUAGCAUUGUUUUAAAAUGAUCAUUAGUAAUUGUCAUGGUAACUUCUUUAAGUUGCAGGUUUGAUUAACAGAGCAAACCUCGUUUCCUUUAACAUCGGGUCCUCCCAAAGCAUCUUUCUGUAGAAUGGUGUGUGUGUCACGGUUGUGGUAGGACACAGGUACAGAGACAGAAUGGUGGAAGUAAUCCAUAUUUAAUCAAAAAGGGGAGACAAAACCAGUGACGUGGGCUAUCCAGUAUAAACACAAAACCAAAAUGAACCACACCAGGGGCCUGUUGCACAAAACCAGGAUAAGGGAUUAAGUUGGGAUAUCCAAGUUAUCCUGGAUUAAUUUAGCUUUGACUUGGUUGCACAAAAGCAGGCUGAAUUAAACCCAACCAAGUAACCAUGGAGAUUUAUUCUUUGCAGCUAGCCUGCUCCAGAGCAGGCUAACAGCCAGGCUAAGAUUAAUCCUGGAGUCUUGUGUUAAAUCAGCUGCCGCUCUGAUCCGAAAUAAACG